This 263-nucleotide ribosomal RNA is filed under the name unidentified marine bacterioplankton. Its description in RNAcentral is "partial 16S ribosomal RNA". It matches the Rfam family "Bacterial small subunit ribosomal RNA", at positions 79 to 339 of the family's 1533-position model. RNAcentral also lists the same sequence under 1 other name. The record is from RNAcentral.
CUUGCUCCGGAAGAUCUAGUGGCGAACGGGUGCGUAACACGUGAGAAACCUGCCCCGAACUUGGGAAUAACAGCCGGAAACGGCUGCUAAUACCGAAUACCGUCGCAGCGUCGCAUGGCGCAGUGACGAAAGCUUUAUGCGGUUUGGGAGGGUCUCGCGACCUAUCAGCUAGUUGGUGAGGUAACGGCUCACCAAGGCAUCGACGGGUAGCUGGUCUGAGAGGAUGAUCAGCCACACUGGGACUGAGACACGGCCCAGACUCC